AACCUUUUACUCUACUGUAAAAUGCAAAAUAAACAACCAGAAUUUAAGAUUAUCUAAUGGCAUUAAUUUAAAGUAUUUUUAGCGGCGAAUUUUGAUAAACAUUUGAUUAAUUUUGAUAAUUAUCAUAUUGGUAUGCAGUUUUAAUAAAAACACAUUUUUGUUUAUAUGUGUAUUAUGUUUUUUAUUUUUGUCCACAAAUCCAUAUUAUAUCGACACACUGUGCGUCGAGACAAUAUGGAUUUGUAGAAGGAAGAGGGAUCACCGAUGCUAUAAUGUGGCUUACCUCAGACCGUCAAAGGCAUUGACGAUCAUGAAAAGGUCGGCGAGUCGUCUGUAUUUCUUACAACUUUGAACCAUAAUUUUGUAUGUGAGAUUUAUUUUCGUCUUAAUAUUUAUUACCUGAAAGCUUGCGGAUUCCUAGUAUUAAGUAACAAGUAAGUUGUUUUGGCGCAAACCAAAUAAUAAAAUAUUAUAAAUAAAAUGAUUAGCUGAUUAUUAAUAGUUAUCAAAUGAGAAUGAUAAACUGAAUGCUGAAUUAGUGAACAGGAAUAAGUAUUUCCCCGCAUUAAGAGAAACCUAAUAAUAUAAAUAUUAUUAGUUUAAUAUAUAAAGCAUGCACAAAAAUUAACGAGACAGACUACAGAAAUCUUUAAAUCCUUUGAUUACAUUUCACACAUAAAAUAUGAGUCAGUUAAAGCUAAUGAUCAUUUUAGUUAUAAGUCUUUUAGCGAGUACUAUUGGCGGAAAUUUAAUUAAGAAUGGUGUAGAGCAAAUAAGAGUUAAGAGAUCCUGUAUAGAGAACAUUUUUGUAGAAAAGUUUUCAGCUUGUAAUCUACACUGUCUCGCGCAUGGAAAAAAAGGUGGAUUUUGUAAUAAGCACUACGUAUGUCAAUGUAAAAAUUAAAUACAAAAUCAAUGUUGUUUUGCUUUGAUUAUAUUUUUUAGAAAAUAA
Anthonomus grandis grandis is the source of this 952-nucleotide long non-coding RNA. RefSeq lists it as uncharacterized. NCBI's taxonomy places the organism in Eukaryota, Metazoa, Arthropoda, Insecta, Coleoptera, Curculionidae. The transcript is spliced from 2 exons. The record is from RefSeq and is a predicted model, not a curated record.